AGGGGAAAGGGCCAAUGGGAGCUCUCUCUGCACUGCAGCAAACUGUAGCCAAUCAGUGGCAGAGGAGCGGGAAAGCAGGGGAGGACAGGGUGAUAAACAACUUUUGGCGGGAAAGUCUGAGGGAGAAAGGGGGAUAACAUGGGGAAAUAAUAAACUUCAUAAAAAUCCAACAGUAAACUGGGGUAUAACAGUCAGUCCGAAAUUGAUAAAUGGAGAAGACUUGUAUUCCAAGUCUCUGUUGAUGUACAUUUAGAUGAAGACUAGAUACACCAUUCUGGCACAAGUGAGACAGGGAGGAGGAGAGGAGCUACUUGAAUUGUACUUGUCGCUGGCAGGAGCACCCAGGAAACAUCUCACCAUGGAUAACAUCACUGUCUGAAACAAGCAAACAUGAAAAAACAUGCCACUGUGGUAUCUGUGGUUCUUAUUUAUGUGGUGAGCUUGGGUACAACGCAAGAAGAGACAAAACACAUGAAAAAAUUCCAGCUUCUGUUUUGAGAAAAACAACAGAUCACAUCCUGAGAACUUGAGAAAAAAGUAAAAAAAUGUAGGAAUAAUGAAAAUACAAUAA
Molecule: long non-coding RNA, 571 nt
Organism: Lepidothrix coronata (blue-crowned manakin)
Lineage: Eukaryota; Metazoa; Chordata; Aves; Passeriformes; Pipridae
Exons: 3
Source: RefSeq, a predicted model, not a curated record